Long non-coding RNA from Myotis myotis, 2858 nucleotides. RefSeq lists it as uncharacterized. The transcript is spliced from 6 exons. The record is from RefSeq and is a predicted model, not a curated record. NCBI's taxonomy places the organism in Eukaryota, Metazoa, Chordata, Mammalia, Chiroptera, Vespertilionidae.
GCCAAACCGGUUAGGGCAGGAGAGUCUCUUUUGCAGGCCAUGUAGCCAUUGCUAACAAGGAGCCAGCAGACAAAACGGUGCUUCAAAGUAGCUUCACACAGUGGCUGCGCCAAGCAGCCCUUGCUAAUACAGUAGCAAACAGGAGCCAUACCAAGCAGCCACCCACUGGCUGGUUAGUAACACGUUUAUACUAACUUAGACACAAAGGCUUCCUGCCGAGUAGUGACAUCAGUAUUUGGGUUAUAGUAAGGUACUCCUGCCCAGUGUGUACAGUACAAUCUCUGUGUCCUUGCUUAGAUUGGCCUUGAACAUCCUGAUUAGGAUUCUCCUGCUCAGAUUGGCCUUGAACAUCCGGCGUACUCUGAUGAGGCUCCCACAGGCACUAUCUCAGUCAUGGCCCAAGUUUAAGUGUUCUCAAAACUGACUUAUCAGAAGGAGGAAAAAGUGUCAUGAAUGUGACAUAACCGUUCUCUCAGGAAUAACACUUAAUUCACAGAAAACUUAACUGCAACCCUAGAGGAGCUGCAUGGGAACCACAGGCUCAGAUAUUUCAGCCAAGAAAGCUGCUGGUGCCAAAAAGACCUCAGAGGAGAAACCAAGUCAAAUUAAACUGUUUGUGAUGUGAAAGCCAUUUCCAACACUGUUUUUAAAGGUUGUCUAGUGCUGACAUGAAUGUUUGUUUUGAUUCCUGUAUUUGAGGAUUGCAGCUUAACCUCUAUGCCACAAAACCGUUUUCCAUAUAAGAGUUGUCUGAGACAGAACUGUCAUCCACCUUCUACAGUGGCCGAAUUUGACUGGCUGUCAGUUACUGUUCGUAGAAAUGUUCUGGAAGUAAGGGGUGAGGGCUGUUUCCACCCACAGCUCAUCCACUUCUUUGUAGUAAUAAGCUGAACUGUAGUAGAUUAUGUUCUUUCAAAGCUAGAACUGUUAAGUUUGCAAACAAGCAUGACUGUUCCAUUGCCAGUAAUUUUAUUCAUGCCUUGGUCUUUUGGGUUUGCACCAGAAAUUGGAAUUGCUUGCAAUUAUAUGUUUAGGUGGAUUGAGGCUCAAAAUUAAUGAUGACAUUGAAUAGUUUCUUAAAGCACCAAGUGGUUCAACUUUUGAUGAAUUAGAAAUGAUAUGUUGUUUUUGUUUGUUUCAUUUCAAUAUGCCAGUGAUCUGUUAGGUGUGCUUUUUAAAUGUUGUUCCAGCAUUUGAACAGAAAUGCCCUUAAAUGUUGAGAGCCAUUUACUAUAAAGUAAAACUUGUCUAAAUCCUUAAAUGUGAAAUGUGGAGAAAUUAGUGAGUAGUAGUAGGAAAUGUAGGAUCAAUAUUGUCAGACAUAAGUGCUUAUCUCUCAGCCCAGUGAUUUCCUACAGUUGAUUUUGUCAGCAACUAACAUGUAGCUGUAAUGUUAAUUAUGUACUGAUAGUGUAAGGUAACUAUGAAAUGGUAACUAAUUACCUGAAAGAAUCAGAUCUGGAAUGCCCUUUGAUGUUAUGAUUACUUGUACACCUACAGUGUGAUAGGAUUGUAUGACACUCAUCUAAGGAUUAAUGGCUCUUCUGUAAACUUCUGAUAAUUUUCUUCUCGUUUUGAUUCCAACAGCUGUCCAGAAUGUGUUUGAAUUCAUACAGAAAUAAUAUUGAUAUCUGAAAGCCAUGUUGAACUUCUCUGAAGAAAGGGAAACAAUGAUUGCAGCUGGGGAUUUGCAGGAAUUUGUUCCUUUUGGUCGAGACCACUGCAGACACCACCCUAAUGCUUUGAACCUUCAGCUUCGGCAGCUGCAGCCAGCCUCUGAGUUGUGGUCGUCUGAUGGUGCUGCUGGCUUGGUGGGAUCCCUGCAGGAGGUUACAAUCCACGAAAAACAGAAGGAAAGCUGGCAGUUAAGGAGAGGCGGAAGUGAAAUUGGAGAAGUGGAUUAUGACGAGGAACUCUAUGUGGCUGGAAAUAUGGUGAUCUGGAGCAAAGGAAGUAAAAGCCAGGCAUUGGCUCUUUACAAGGCCUUUACAGUUGAUAGUCCUGUUCAACAGGAAGAGUCCCACAUCUCCUUCUGGAGAAGGUGCUGUGGAGACUGUGGAAAUGACAUGAAAGAGCCUCAAAUCUCGUGGAGAAAGUGCUUUGGAGACUGGAAAUGACAACAGAGGAUUUAGAAGAUCACUAAAGUUAUUUAGUAUUUACUGAAUUCAGACCACCACCAGAAGGUUGAGUCUCACCUUUUGAACAGAUCUUUAUGUCUGAAUCCUUUGGAAAGUUUCUCAGAUGAAGGAUGAAGACUUGUCACAGAAUCUCAGUCUGGAUUCUUCUACACUUCUCUCACAUACCUGCAAUCUUUUUCCUUCUUCACUGGGUCUCUGAGGAGCCUAAAUGGAAUACUCUGAUGGGAGAAGGAAUUCAUUCACUUGUUGACCCCCCUUGUUCAGUUGGCAAGGGACUAAAAAUUGGAGUUUUACUUAGAUCAUUACUGCAAGGAUUACACAAUGCUUUUCAGAACAACUGAAGAAGUAUGCACACUUGAUCAAGGAGUGUUAAGGAUCUCAUUCAGUGUGGAAGCUGAGAAUUAUAAGCAGCAGAAUAGUGAUGAAGCUAACAGUAGGGACUUGUCUUUCUCACAAAAGAACAAGUCCACAGGUAGGUGGAUCCAAUAUUGAACUCAGCUGCUCAGUGAUGUCAGGGUAAGCUCCCAGCAUCAACGAGAGGAAAAAAAUCCUCUCCUCGCUAUUGUGCUUUAUAUCAGGGAGGAAAACAGUGUCUCAGAAAUCAACUAUGAGACUCUUGCGUGAACCCUUGGGCAGAACGCGCCAAAUUGCAAGGGACAUGGGGCAGUUUAGUGUCAAAGUGCUCCUGAAGGAGGUGCCUCAGCCCAGGAGGAGGUGGUG